Molecule: ribosomal RNA, 465 nt
Filed under: uncultured Klebsiella sp.
Lineage: Bacteria; Pseudomonadati; Pseudomonadota; Gammaproteobacteria; Enterobacterales; Enterobacteriaceae
Description: bacterial SSU rRNA
Rfam family: Bacterial small subunit ribosomal RNA
Source: RNAcentral
CCUACGGGAGGCAGCAGUGGGGAAUAUUGCACAAUGGGCGCAAGCCUGAUGCAGCCAUGCCGCGUGUGUGAAGAAGGCCUUCGGGUUGUAAAGCACUUUCAGCGGGGAUGAAGGCGGUGAGGUUAAUAACCUCAUCGAUUGACGUUACCCGCAGAAGAAGCACCGGCUAACUCCGUGCCAGCAGCCGCGGUAAUACGGAGGGUGCAAGCGUUAAUCGGAAUUACUGGGCGUAAAGCGCACGCAGGCGGUCUGUCAAGUCGGAUGUGAAAUCCCCGGGCUCAACCUGGGAACUGCAUUCGAAACUGGCAGGCUAGAGUCUUGUAGAGGGGGGUAGAAUUCCAGGUGUAGCGGUGAAAUGCGUAGAGAUCUGGAGGAAUACCGGUGGCGAAGGCGGCCCCCUGGACAAAGACUGACGCUCAGGUGCGAAAGCGUGGGGAGCAAACAGGAUUAGAUACCCCAGUAGUC